UGGAAGUACCCAAAUGUCCACUGUCCACUGAUGAAUGAAUGGAUAAGCAAUAUAUGCUCUUUUAGUGUGGCAUGGCAGAAAGAACAAUGUAUAUGCCCACACAAAUACCUGCUGAUGGAGAUACAAAUGUGAUAGAAAAACAUCUCCUGAGAGAGACAUUUGAGGACUCCAAUUGGAUACUCAAAGAGAUUCUCUGGUGACCAAAAGGAGCCUUCAGUGAUCAAAUAACUUCAGUUAAGAAUUCCUGGUUUAAGAUUUUACAGGAAUACAUUGAACAUCAGGUUGAUGAUGCAAUGAUGGCAAAUGCAGCCCAGAAAUUUCCCUUCAAUAUUCCUAAAAGCAAAGAAGGAUAUUAAUAUCAUCAAAUCUUUGAAUGCCAUUACCCAGGCCAGGCUGACUGGCUGAGCCAUUACUGGAUGCCCAAGUGGAUCAAUGCCACUGACCCUUCUGCCCACACACUGACCCACUACAAGUCAGCUGCCAAAGCUUAAGUGCUCUUUAUGCUGUAAUGUGAAAGCAAAUAUUUCUUCUUGCUGCGUGGGGAUUAUGGAUAGAUAGGGGAACAAUGACAGUCAAUUCAGGCUAACUUGGGUGUGAAAAAAAUAAAAGUCC
RNAcentral lists this long non-coding RNA (612 nucleotides) under Homo sapiens (human). RNAcentral describes it as "HSALNT0346451". Lineage: Eukaryota; Metazoa; Chordata; Mammalia; Primates; Hominidae. The record is from RNAcentral.